Molecule: ribosomal RNA, 515 nt
Filed under: Dryocosmus kuriphilus (oriental chestnut gall wasp)
Lineage: Eukaryota; Metazoa; Arthropoda; Insecta; Hymenoptera; Cynipidae
Description: eukaryotic LSU rRNA
Rfam family: Eukaryotic large subunit ribosomal RNA
Source: RNAcentral
CCAAGGAGUCUAACAUGUCCGCGAGUCAUUGGGACCGCAAAACCUAAAGGCGAAAUGAAAGUGAAGGUCGACCUUGCGUCGACUGAGGGAGGAUGGGUUGCGUCUCGAUGCAGCCCCGCACUCCCGGGGCGUCUCGUACUCAUUGCGAGUAGAGGCGCACCCAGAGCGUACACGUUGGGACCCGAAAGAUGGUGAACUAUGCCUGGCCAGGACGAAGUCAGGGGAAACCCUGAUGGAGGUCCGUAGCGAUUCUGACGUGCAAAUCGAUCGUAGGAGCUGGGUAUAGGGGCGAAAGACUAAUCGAACCAUCUAGUAGCUGGUUCCCUCCGAAGUUUCCCUCAGGAUAGCUGGCACUCGCGUGGAGCGAGUCUCAUCUGGUAAAGCGAAUGAUUAGAGGCCUUGGGGCCGAAACGACCUCAACCUAUUCUCAAACUUUAAAUGGGUGAGAUCUCUGGCUUGCUUGAACAGUGAAGCCACGAGAUUUUUCGGAUCAGAGUGCCAAGUGGGCCAAUUUU